GCGCCCUUAGCUCAGCUGGAUAGAGCAACGGCCUUCUAAGCCGUAUGUCACAGGUUCGAACCCUGUAGGGCGUACCA
This 77-nucleotide transfer RNA is filed under the name Enterobacter cloacae complex sp. 742-ADZ3-9B. RNAcentral's name for it is "tRNA-Arg". It matches the Rfam family "tRNA". From Rfam's summary of the family: Transfer RNA (tRNA) molecules are approximately 80 nucleotides in length. Their secondary structure includes four short double-helical elements and three loops (D, anti-codon, and T loops). The record is from RNAcentral. Lineage: Bacteria; Pseudomonadati; Pseudomonadota; Gammaproteobacteria; Enterobacterales; Enterobacteriaceae.